This 426-nucleotide ribosomal RNA is filed under the name uncultured bacterium. Its description in RNAcentral is "bacterial SSU rRNA". It matches the Rfam family "Bacterial small subunit ribosomal RNA", at positions 356 to 774 of the family's 1533-position model. The record is from RNAcentral.
GGGGAAUUUUGGACAAUGGGGGCAACCCUGAUCCAGCCAUCCCGCGUGUGCGAUGAAGGCCUUCGGGUUGUAAAGCACUUUUGGCAGGGAAGAAACAGCCUGGGCUAAUAUCCCGGGCGACUGACGGUACCUGCAGAAUAAGCACCGGCUAACUACGUGCCAGCCGCCGCGGUAAUACGUAGGGUGCAAGCGUUAAUCGGAAUUACUGGGCGUAAAGCGUGCGCAGGCGGUUCGGAAAGAAAGGUGUGAAAUCCCAGGGCUUAACCUUGGAACUGCACUUUUAACUACCGGGCUAGAGUACGUCAGAGGGGGGUAGAAUUCCACGUGUAGCAGUGAAAUGCGUAGAGAUGUGGAGGAAUACCGAUGGCGAAGGCAGCCCCCUGGGAUGAUACUGACGCUCAUGCACGAAAGCGUGGGGAGCAAACA